CUUCUGGUGGUACUGAGGCAAGUGUACAAAAUGCAGGAACUUAUUACAGGAAUUUGAUCAAUCACGUUAAAGGAAAUGGGACGCCAAAGAGACAGGGGAGACCUAUUGAAACUUACUUGUUUGCUAUGUAUGAUGAAAACCUCAAGGGAGGGGCAGAGACUGAGAAACAUUUUGGGCUUUUCAAUCCCACAAAUCAGCAGCCAAAAUACCAACUCAGUUUUUGAGCUAUAAUACUAACAAAUGUAAUGCAAUAAAUAAUAAGGCCCAAUUUGCCUGUAUGGACAAAAUAAAGAACAAGAAAUGUUAAGGAUCUUUCAUGUUUGGAUCAGUUUGUUUACAGCAAACAAUAUGUAUGCUCUAUAAAGGUAAAAUUGUAACAUGCAAAAUAGUCCAAUGGUUGCAUCCAUGCAAGAGGUAUAAAAUUUUCAUACUUAGGCUGUGUUCACUUCAUGGAAUGGAAUGAGGGGAGAAUGGAAUGAAAAAUUAUAUAAAAGUUUUAAGGAGAAAGAAGAAAGUAUGAGAUAAUAGUGACAAAAUAUGAAUGUAGUUAAUUUUUUUGUGAGAAAGAUUGUGAAGAAACAUGAUGUUCAAAUGGAAUGAGCAUUCCUUCCAAAACAUGUGGGUUAGAGUUAUAGUUAAAAUAGUAAGGUUGGAAUGAUUGAAGGAAUGAAAAUUAUAUACAUUUUCUUUGAUCAACACCAUUUUAGAGUAUAAAAUUCAUUUCAUUCUCCCUCCAUUCCAUUCACUCCAAGUGAACACAACCUUAAUGUUUUUCAUAAUCAAGUCUAAAAAUUAAGUUGGCGUCUCAAUAACUCCAAUAGAGUGCUAACAAGUACGUCAUUUAAGGUGGCGUUGAUACCCCUCUUGACGGUCCUUGUUAGAGUUGCGCCUAGGGAAUCCUUUCCCGCAGUACCCAUGUUGUUGUUCACGUUUCCCAGUCUACCCACAUUCAUUCAAUCUUUCCUUAACUACCCAUCUUUUGCACUGUACGCUUGGAAAUGUGUAGAAAACCUGGCCCACAACCUAUUCUUUAUAUUAAACAUGUUGCGCUGUACACAUAAGUUCGCACAAAAAUGCAACUAAAUCACUGUGGUUUAACAAUUUUAAUUUCAUUUGGACUUGUAAGUUUUGAUAUAUAAAGUAUGGAUGAUUCCUUCGGCUAUUUAUUAAAACCCUGCAUUGUUUUUGUUUUAUCCGCCGGUUUAGAGCCACCAAAUUGGUGGGUUUCUAUUUUUUUUAAACCUCAUAAUACGUUAAAUAUCAUAACAAUUUCAAUCAUUUCAUUUUUUUUAUAUAUAUUUUCUAAUUUAUCUUUCAAUUUUUAUAUAUUUAUAUCAUUAGAAGUAUUAUAAAUUAUAUAUUAAUAAAUACUUUAUAAAUAAUUACAAUAUGACCAAUUUAUAUUUAUAAAUUAAUAAAGUAAAUAAUUUAAAUACUUUUUCUGAGUUAUCAAAUCAACUAUUUACAAUUGAAACAGAUUCUUAUCUAUAAUUUGAGUAGAGACGAUGAAUUUAGCCCUUUACAUGAUUCAGAAAUUGAAACAGAUUAUGAGGAUAUUGAUUAUGAUGGUGAUUCUGAUUCGACAGAUACUGAUAAUGAUGAAGAAGAGGAAGAAUAUGUGCCUACUACACCAUGGUUUACAGAAGAAACCACUUCUAACAAGUUUGCUAAUAGUUCAGGUGCUUCUUGUGGGAGAUGCGGUCAAGAAGGUCACACAAGACGCAGUCGCCGUUGCCCACAACAUGGACAAUAAUUUUAAGAUUAAUAUGUUGUUGUAUUUUAAUUGUCAAGUUUAAUUUUACCUAAAAGUUGCUAUCAUGUAAUAUUUAUAAUUAUUGGAUAAUUAAGUUUAAUAUUGGAUUUUCAUUUAUUUACAUGUUCAAAUAAAUAUUAGUUAAUAAUUUAUAAUUAUUAUGANNNNNNNNNNNNNNNNNNNNNNNNNNNNNNNNNNNNNNNNNNNNNNNNNNNNNNNNNNNNNNNNNNNNNNNNNNNNNNNNNNNNNNNNNNNNNNNNNNNNNNNNNNNGAAUCCUUUCCCGCAGUACCCAUGUUGUUGUUCACGUUUCCCAGUCUACCCACAUUCAUUCAAUCUUUCCUUAACUACCCAUCUUUUGCACUGUACGCUUGGAAAUGUGUAGAAAACCUGGCCCACAACCUAUUCUUUAUAUUAAACAUGUUGCGCUGUACACAUAAGUUCGCACAAAAAUGCAACUAAAUCACUGUGGUUUAACAAUUUUAAUUUCAUUUGGACUUGUAAGUUUUGAUAUAUAAAGUAUGGAUGAUUCCUUCGGCUAUUUAUUAAAACCCUGCAUUGUUUUUGUUUUAUCCGCCGGUUUAGAGCCACCAAAUUGGUGGGUUUCUAUUUUUUUUAAACCUCAUAAUACGUUAAAUAUCAUAACAAUUUCAAUCAUUUCAUUUUUUUUAUAUAUAUUUUCUAAUUUAUCUUUCAAUUUUUAUAUAUUUAUAUCAUUAGAAGUAUUAUAAAUUAUAUAUUAAUAAAUACUUUAUAAAUAAUUACAAUAUGACCAAUUUAUAUUUAUAAAUUAAUAAAGUAAAUAAUUUAAAUACUUUUUCUGAGUUAUCAAAUCAACUAUUUACAAUUGAAACAGAUUCUUAUCUAUAAUUUGAGUAGAGACGAUGAAUUUAGCCCUUUACAUGAUUCAGAAAUUGAAACAGAUUAUGAGGAUAUUGAUUAUGAUGGUGAUUCUGAUUCGACAGAUACUGAUAAUGAUGAAGAAGAGGAAGAAUAUGUGCCUACUACACCAUGGUUUACAGAAGAAACCACUUCUAACAAGUUUGCUAAUAGUUCAGGUGCUUCUUGUGGGAGAUGCGGUCAAGAAGGUCACACAAGACGCAGUCGCCGUUGCCCACAACAUGGACAAUAAUUUUAAGAUUAAUAUGUUGUUGUAUUUUAAUUGUCAAGUUUAAUUUUACCUAAAAGUUGCUAUCAUGUAAUAUUUAUAAUUAUUGGAUAAUUAAGUUUAAUAUUGGAUUUUCAUUUAUUUACAUGUUCAAAUAAAUAUUAGUUAAUAAUUUAUAAUUAUUAUGAUCAAUUAAGUAAAAGUAGAAUCAAUUUAAUAAAAAUUAAAAACUUAGGUACCUAUAUGUAAAAUGUAUGUGUGCAAGUUUUUUGAUUCAUCACUUUUGUCCCCACAACUUGUAAGUGGGGUCCAUUUAACCAUUUAAUUAAGUGUGGAAUAUGCAAAAGGUGGGUAGUUUGGGAUAAAUUGAAGGGGGCUGGGUAGAUUGGGAAAAGGGAAUGGGAAAUGGGGCAUUCAGGGAAGGGACUCUGCGCCCAGGGACUGCAACUGACGAGCGUAAUCAGUCUGUCAUGCAAACACAUUGGCACUAUCAAAACCCUAACUACACGGCAACUGUUCAUCGGACCUACUCAUGUAGCUUCACACAUUUUCUUGAGUGGCACCAACUUUGAGCACUCUCUAAUGGCUUCUUGAAUAAUACCACUAAUGAGAUGUCCUUGUCUAGCUAUAUGCAUAAUACCACUAAUGAGAUGUCCUUGUCUAGCUAUAUGCAUAUAACUACAAGUCCUCCACUGCAAUUUCUCAGGCGGCCUGUUAUUGAAGAACGUAUGUUACAUGCAUGUUUAACAGAAAUUGUUUCUUUUCUGUAAUAAGCUUUCAUGAAGUUUUCGGAAAUUCGAAACUUUAAUCUUCUCAAAUAUAAAUUUUGAGAAUUUGACCAAUUAUACAAAAGAAAAAUCUAAGAAAUGUGUACUCUGUUUAUUAAUAAGCGAGGAUUAAUAGAAGAAUUCCCAAACCCCGAACAUAAAAAGUAUCAAAUAAUAAAUUACUAAAAUUUGCUAUUAUUUUAUAAUUCUUUUUAUUUAAUCGUAAUAAUCAUUAUAUUAUUAUAAUAAGUCUUACUUGACGAGGAUUUUGUAAUGUAAUGGUUGUCCUCACAAUAGAAAUAUUACAUCGGCAAAAAAAUUAUUUAUUUUAUUUUUAAAAGGCAAAUAUUUAAUUUCAUCACGAAUAUAAAAUUCCUAUCAUAUUUCAAAAUUCAAACAAAUAAAAAAUUUAAUUGAUAUUAUCAAACAAAUCUAUAUUAAUAAAAACUUUAAUUCUAACCCCUGUCCAACGCAAGUUUUGAGUAUAUAUGAAGAAUGUUUUGGUAACACUUGCAUGAAAAAUGUAAACUCGGCCCAAAAUGAAGCCGCUAUCGGAUUUCGGAACAAGAUUUUUCCAUCCAGAAAAUAUUGUCUUUUUAAAAAUUCUUUUCACAACUAGACAGUUAUCUUCAAAUCUAAGCAGUUUUUAACUAAUGAAUUGAACUACCAAUUUAACUAUCCCCACCCACUGUAAUAGGGCGUCAAAAGUCUCAUGUAAUGGCUUUUAUUCAUCAAUCAAGGUUAGAUAUUACUUUGCAUACAAAGCUAAGUUUUGACAAACUGAAAUCCACAUAACCACAGUUCAAAUAUAGUUUCAUGGCAGAUGAUACUAAAGCAAAUUGAUAUAAUAGACUGUUGUCCUCUUUACAGCUUCAUUCCUAGAGGCGGAUCUUGAUAAGAGCAAGAGAAUUUUAAAUUUUUGUCCUUAAUUUUAGUGACAUAAUGUCGUGAAACGGUAAAAUAUUACAUAAUAUGAAUAUUAAUUUUUUGUUUUCUAUGUUACUCCCUCCGUUCCUUUAUAUUAGUCGCUUUGACUUUUUGCACGUAUUUUGAGAUGCUAUAUAUAUAUAUAUAUAUAUAUAUAUAUAUAUAUAUAUAUACUAUUUUUUAAUAUUUUUUCCUGAAUAAAAAUAUAAAUGUUAAACUUUUAUUCAGAAAAAAAAAAUUUAAAAAAUAAUAUGCAGAAGUAUGUUUUUUGUACACCUCAAAUCACAUGUACAAAGUCAAAGCGACUAAUAUUUAGGAACGGAGGGAGUAUCAUUUUGGUAUUCUGAUCAAAGUGUAUAUGAUUUAUUUAUGUUGUGCAACGGUAAAGAUUCAUAUAAUAUGAAUAUUAUUUUUUUUCCUGUAUUUAUUACAAUUAAUCCAGUUAUGUAACCUCGUCCAGUUACCAUCCGUUUGCAUCACAUACAAGUCGAUCAAGAAUCCAGUUGAAUUUUUGUUGGGAAUUUCAACCAAAACUGUAACAGAAUCUUUCAUGUUCAGAAGAUGACAAAAUCUUUCGUCGAUGCCUUUUGAAUACCUAAAUCUCUAAAGCAAUCCGCGUGGACUGACCCUAGCAAUAACUCGAAGCUUUCCUAGCUCCUUAUCCUUCCAUAUCCAAUACGGAUACCCUUUAACUACACAUUUACAAUUCCUACCCACUACGGGCGAAAAGGAAACGGCCAUGCCUCAAUCCAUUUAUAAAUGUCAAUUCUAGAACCACCCUGCAAAACUCGGACAAUGCAUAUAAUCCUGUAGUUGUAGGCCUCAGAAUCAUAAGUCAAUCCAACUAGUUUUGCUAAUUUUAUUUUCCAUUAGGCUUCAGCUCAAUUAAAUUGACAGAAAUUAAUUCUGAUUUGAUUUCGGAUUAAUUGCUUGGUUUAAAUUAAUUCGUUUUGAUUACGAAUUUAAUUUUUAACCGCAUGAAUUAAAUUAACGCGUUUAAUUAAUUACGAAGAGUAGCGCACAAGUUUUUCAGAACCUUCGAGCGUCUAUAUAAAUACAAUAUUAUUGAGUCAUUAGGGUUAUUAACACACUGUUAUCAACACACUGUUUAAUAGUAAGAUUGUAUGAAUUAAUACAAUAAGCACUUUCUUUCAAUGUCUAAACUAAGUUUUAUUCGAUCUUUGUUUCUGUUUAUUGUGAUCCUCGUCCUUGCCUUUAGAGGGCAUCAGGUUUAGUUCUUUCCCUUGCAACAGAAUUUAUAAUUUAACUUCUAUUUGGAUAUGGUGAAUAAAUUAAUUUUUGGAAUAAGUAAAUUAAAUGCGGAUGAAAUUUUUGGAAACUACUAAUCACUUGCAUGCAUUUUAAUUCACAGGAGCACAAUCUGUAGGUGUGUGUUAUGGGAGAAACGGAAAUAAUUUACCUAAUGAAUAGGCAACAGUUAAUUUGUUCAGGGUCAAUGGUAUCGGAAGAAUGAGGCUUUACAAUCCAGUUCAGCACUUCAAGCUGACGUUUCAAACCCGCAGCUUCAAUCACGUCAAACUGCUGCCGGAGCAAGUACCUGGAUUCGAGAUAAUAUUCAAAAUUACUUACCAGGUUUGCGGUCCGAAAUGAAGUUGAUCCUAACAAUGGGGGUACUUCCCGGUAUGUUAAUGUUGUCCUUCCCGCGAUGAGAAAUAUACAUAAUGCAAUCGUACGUAAGAGUAGGACUGCAAAAUCAAAUUAAUGUUUCCACCGCGACAUAUUCAGGUCUCAUCAGUGGAUCCCCUCCGUCACAAGGUGCUUUCGGGGAUAAUGUAAAAGGGUUCAUUUUGCCAAUCAUUUAGUAUUACAUAAUGAUCAGGAUUUUAUUUUAUAAUUCAUUUAAUUUAAUAAUAAUUAUCUUUUUAAUAAUUAUUAUUAUAUUAUUAUAAUAAGUCUUACAUAUUGAUUAAGAUUUUGUAAUGUUGUCCUCAUAAUAAAAAUAUUAAAUCGUUAAAAGAGUUAUUUAUUUUAUUUUUGAAACUCAAACAUGUAAUUUAUGAAACAAAUCUAUAAAAUUCUUAUCAUAUUUAAAAAUUUAAAUAGAUAAGAAGUUCAAUUGAUAUUGUUAGGAAAAUCUAUAUUAAAAAAAUUCUAAUUCUGAUUUGAGUAUAUGUGAAGAAUGUGUUGGUAUAUAUACUUGCAUGAAAAAUGUAAACUCCAACCAAAAUGAAAUCGUUGUAACUGCUUGAGGCGGAACAAGAUUGUCAAAAAUAAUUGAUAAUGAUUAAGUUUAAAUUAAAUAAAAUUACUUAAUUUAGAAAAAAUUUAUAUUAAUAUGUCAAACAAUUAUUAAAAUAACUAUUAUUACUAAACCUACGAACACUCCAAACUAACGUCAUACAUAACAACGUUUAAAACAAUAAUAAAAUAAAAAAUUUAAAUUUUACUUAAUACAAAGACCAAUUGGUGCUAAAAAAAAAUUCAUCCUCUUAAAAAUUAUAAAAUAACAUAAUAAUUUUAUUAAAAUAAAACAUAUGAUUUUGAAAUACGUCCAUAUUAACAUAUUUUUUUGAAUAAUUUUAUAAAACUAUUUAAAAAUUGAAUUGAGAUCAGAGAUUAAUAUAUAAAAUAUUUUCUAUCUAAACAAUAAUUAUUUAAACAAAUAUAUUAAAGAGAUAUAAUAUAAUUAAACAAAAAUAUACUAUAAUUCUAAUAAAUAUUGCGGGUCUCAAAACUCAGAAGCCCUGUCCGGGUCUUCGAGCACUUUAUGAUCAUUUGAGAGUAAAUACGACUAAAUCGAUGGCUGGAUCCCGAUGUUCUUUUACCAGAUUUUUCUUUUCAUUAUGACACCCUUUCGCUAUUAACCUCAAAUCAUUUUAUAUAUACCCAUCUCAAAUCAAUUUUUUUCUAACGAAAUUGAAUUUUUCAUUUAUUAUACGUAUGAAACGAAUCGUUAAUAUUGACAUCAUUCGAGUUGAACCGACUUGGUCCUCAUCAUUUGCCCAAUACCUGCAUGUUUUGAUCGAUCAAAAGUACAGAAGUCUUUAUUUUCACGAUAUUUCUCAACUGACAUGGACCUUUUCGAACAAAUUUUUGUUAGCCGUCUUGCCGUUCGAAACUUCAAGUUCAAAUUACCAGAAGGAUUGACUCUUUCGGGUACAGAAAUGAUAGUCUGUACUAAUAUGAAUCAGACUCUGAAUCUGAAUGGAGUUGGAACCAUGAAAAAUAAGCAAACAAUUUUCAAGAAAACGACCACGACGACUGUGAUGUGUGUGUGGGUGCGCGCGUGUGACGAUUAUGGUCAUGGCACUCGGUUUGGAAAAAAUGGUCAUCGGAUGCAUUAAUAAGGGAUUAUAUGGAAUUAUUUGCAUUUUUUAGUUGACUUGCGUGUUGCAGGUCUUCCAAUAUCGAGCAGAACUUCGACUAUAUAAGUGUGGUAAGAUUGUAUGAAUUAUUACACACAGCUUUUGAAUUAUACUACCGUAAUGUACAAGAUGUCUAAGCUAAGUUUUAUGCAGUUUGUAUUUCUGUUUAUUGGGAUCUUCGUGCUUGCCUUCAAGACACCAGGUUUAGUUCUCUCUUUCUCCAACAUGAUCCGUCACCUGUUAGAGUACAUCAACAUGGACAUUUGGUUCAUGAUUAAUGAGCCUCGUUAAUAGGAAUCAAAACCUCAAACCCAUAUGUUAGUGUUUGGAUUAGCCAUUUUGUGGAAUGGAAUGUGAACUCCAUUUCCACUUAAUACCUCUCGAUCCCAUUCUCGAUUCCCAUUCUCAUCUACCAUUCAAAAGCCCCCAGUAUUGUUGCACCCAAGAUAUUUAUCCGUCUUUCCGACCAACUUGUGUUAUAUUUCAAUCAGUUAUGGUGGUCGUUUAUAUUCUGAUCGUUAUGAUUUCUUUUCUAUUAGUUUAUUUUUUAGCGAGUAAAGUGUUGCAUAUAUAUUUUGAAUAAUACGGAUAUUGGUUAAUUAGUAAGAAGAGUGUUCCUAUACUUAUCGAUUGAUGCAUUUUAAUUUACAGGAGCACAGUCUAUAGGUGUGUGUUAUGGGAGAAACGGAAAUAAUUUACCGAAUGCACAAGCGACAAUAAAUUUGUUCAGGGCCAAUGGUAUCGGAAGAAUGAGGCUUUACGAUCCAGUUCAGCCAGUACUUCAAGCUCUCAGAGGAUCGAAUAUAGAGCUCAUUCUUGACGUACCAAACACGCAGCUUCGAUCCCUUCAAAAUCCUGCUGCAGCAAGAACUUGGGUUCGAGAUAAUGUUCAAAAUUACAUUCCAGGAGUUAGAUUUCGUUACAUUGCUGUUGGAAACGAAGUUGAUCCUAACAAUGGUGGUACUUCGCAGUAUGUUAAUCUUGUCCUUCCCGCGAUGAGAAAUAUACAUGAUGCAAUCGUGGCAGCAGGACUGCAGAAUCAAAUUAAGGUUUCCACCGCGACAUAUUCAGGUCUCACCAGUGGAUUUCCUCCGUCACAAGGUGCUUUUCGGGAUAAUGUAAAAGGGUUCAUUGAGCCGAUCAUUCGGUUUUUAGCCCAAAACAAUUUGCCACUGCUAGCAAACAUAUACCCUUAUUUCAGCUACCUAGGGACUCCACAGGGUGAUCUUCAGUAUGCUCUUUUUACAGCACCAAAUGUGGUCGUGACAGAUUCGGUUGGUAAUCGUCAGUACAGGAACCUAUUUGAUGCCUUGUUGGAUACUUUGUAUUCGGCUGUUGAGAGAUCAGGAGGUCCGAACAUCGAGAUCGUCGUUUCGGAGAGUGGAUGGCCUUCUUCAGGUGGUACUGAGGCAAGUGCACAAAAUGCAGGAACUUAUUACAGGAAUUUGAUCAAUCACGUUAGACAAAAUGGGACGCCAAAGAGACAGGGGAGACCUAUAGAAACUUACUUGUUUGCUAUGUAUGAUGAAAACCUCAAGGGAGGAGCAGAGACUGAGAAACAUUUUGGCCUUUUCAACCCCACAAAUCAGCAGCCAAAAUACCAACUUAGGUUCUGAG
Molecule: long non-coding RNA, 9496 nt
Filed under: Daucus carota (carrot)
Lineage: Eukaryota; Viridiplantae; Streptophyta; Magnoliopsida; Apiales; Apiaceae
Description: long non-coding RNA (DCAR_LNC001701)
Source: RNAcentral